GAUGAACGCUGGCGGCGUGCCUAAUACAUGCAAGUCGAGCGAACGGACGAGAAGCUUGCUUCUCUGAUGUUAGCGGCGGACGGGUGAGUAACACGUGGAUAACCUACCUAUAAGACUGGGAUAACUUCGGGAAACCGUAGCUAAUACCGGAUAAUAUUUUGAACCGCAUGGUUCAAAAGUGAAAGACGGUCUUGCUGUCACUUAUAGAUGGAUCCGCGCUGCAUUAGCUAGUUGGUAAGGUAACGGCUUACCAAGGCAACGAUGCAUAGCCGACCUGAGAGGGUGAUCGGCCAAACUGGAACUGAGACACGGUCCAGACUCCUACGGGAGGCAGCAGUAGGGAAUCUUCCGCAAUGGGCGAAAGCCUGACGGAGCAACGCCGCGUGAGUGGUGAAGGUCUUCGGAUCGUAAAACUCUGUUAUUAGGGAAGAACAUAUGUGUAAGUAACUGUGCACAUCUUGACGGUACCUAAUCAGAAAGCCACGGCUAACUACGUG
RNAcentral lists this ribosomal RNA (497 nucleotides) under uncultured bacterium. RNAcentral's name for it is "partial 16S ribosomal RNA". It matches the Rfam family "Bacterial small subunit ribosomal RNA", at positions 28 to 507 of the family's 1533-position model. The record is from RNAcentral.